Molecule: ribosomal RNA, 385 nt
Filed under: uncultured bacterium
Lineage: Bacteria
Description: bacterial SSU rRNA
Rfam family: Bacterial small subunit ribosomal RNA
Source: RNAcentral
AGCGAACGCUGGCGGCAGGCCUAACACAUGCAAGUCGAACGAUCCUUCGGGAUAGUGGCGGACGGGUGAGUAACACGUGGGAACGUACCUUUAGGUUCGGGACAACUCAGGGAAACUUGAGCUAAUACCGGAUAAGCCCUUCGGGGGAAAGAUUUAUCGCCUUUAGAGCGGCCCGCGUCUGAUUAGCUAGUUGGUGAGGUAAAGGCUCACCAAGGCUUCGAUCAGUAGCUGGUCUGAGAGGAUGAUCAGCCACAUUGGGACUGAGACACGGCCCAAACUCCUACGGGAGGCAGCAGUGGGGAAUCUUGCGCAAUGGUCGAAAGACUGACGCAGCCAUGCCGCGUGAAUGAUGAAGGUCUUAGGAUUGUAAAAUUCUUUUACCAGU